CACUGACCUAUUGGGACAGCCAUCUGUUUUAGAUUGCUGGAAGAAAUUCUGAUUUCUGCAACAAAGGGGCUGAGGAAUUUGAACCUUGCACCCACACCCCAGGAAUUGUUUGAUGAGAUGGUGGGAAAGAGCAGAAAGAGGCUGCGUCAGCGGGCAUGAGAAUCCAACUAGCCACACACAAGGUUCUUGAAAUCAUAAGGCCAGGCACUAGAGAAAUGGAAGAAGCGUUUUUCCAGCUUUACCAAGAAUUCACACAACUGCAGGAUUUAUGUGCAAAGCAGGCUCAGCUGCUACAGAAGUUAAUUGUGAAGAAGGAACCAAUGACUGACAUGCCAAUUUCGAUGCCAAUCCAGUGCACAGACGACGGGGGAUUAGCGCAAUCAGAGCGAAUCAUCUUCAAACAGCAAUUACCAAAGGUUCCCAGCUCUAUCCUUUCCAACCCAACAGUUCCUACAUGGCCCAACUCCGCAGUUCUUCGGGACCAGCCACAAGAUGCACACAUGGUUUCUAGUUUUGAUAUUAAGUACCCCCCGAGUGCAGCAAACGCCAGCUUGUUAAGCAGUGCCAAGGGGAAGGCAGAUUUCGCAAUAGCACUUUCCAGCCAGAACCACCACAAACCACACAUGGGCAAGAAGGCGGCUUGUGACACGCUGUUGAAAAAUUAUAUGACGUUUCCUGCCUUGAAAGCGGACAAAGAGAAAUCCACAGCCCCUCCCAUACUUCCAGAGCUUGCUGCCCUAAAUCCGGAGGACGUAGGCUCCUUUCCCAGUUUCUUGGAUCUUUAUGAAGCACCACAAGAUUUACAGACAGGAAGUACUUCCCUUCAAGCAGCAGAAAUUAACGUUCCUAUAGAAAUACGAGGACCCACACAGACUUCCUGGACUCCAGGAUGGGUGGUAGAAGACAGUCCACUUGAUCACAGCGGGGAUUUUGAAGUCCAAGGGUACUCUGCAUACACAGACCUGUGACUUUUGCCAAGUCAUUUCCCCAGCGCGGGAAGCAGCGCAAGGCGACUAUUAAAAGCAACUCAUAGCUCAUACUGAAUAGCGUUGGUAUCAUCAUGUACUUGUAACCCAGCUUACAGAGGAUGGCUUUCCACCCCCCUUUAGUGGCUGGACAACAUGAGGGUUUAUGAGCCUCCUGUAGAGCUGUUGGAUUAAGGGAAUUCUUGACGCAGUGGCUGAACUGAAGCAUUGUGAAAAAAAAAAUUUGGUUUGGGUUGACCUGAAAUGAAAAUGGUUCAAUUUUUCCAGCAAAGCUCAAAAAGUAAAAAAAGAAUUUGGUUUGAAUUGAACGAAACAUUUAAUUUCAUUUCUGAGUUUUUAUCUUUUUCAUCUUUUUCAAAUAGCAAUUUGAGAAAAGGAAGUGAAAUUCUCAGAUGAAAUGUUUCAUUUUGGAAAUGACAAAAAAAAUGAACCAUUUCAACAUUUCUGAUUUUUUUGAUAUUUUUUGAUAUUUGACCCAAUUUGAUAUUCACUAAUAUUGACUCAAAUUUGUGAAUUGUUUCCAUCAGCCCAAAUCUGCAUUUUUUGGGGCGGCAGCAGAAAUGAAUCACGUGAAAAAUAGAUUGUCGAGCUCUGUUUGCUUUGAGCUGGAUCUUUUAGCUCAGGCAGUUGUGGCUCAGAUGUUUGUGCUGACAAAGAGAAAAUAAUAUCUGCUUCUCCUCCCAGAAAUGUAACCUCUCCAAUAAAGGAAUGUCCAAGCUUGUUAAUUCUCCUAAA
Molecule: long non-coding RNA, 1721 nt
Organism: Gopherus agassizii (Agassiz's desert tortoise)
Lineage: Eukaryota; Metazoa; Chordata; Testudines; Testudinidae
Source: Ensembl